UGUUAAAUUUAUUAAUAUCUCUUUUUUUUAUCAGUUUUUGGCUAGCCAAUAAUUUCGGCCCAAAACUUUUUAAAAUUAGGCGCUGUAAAUUUCGAACUUUUCGAAAGUUCUUUUUUUUUAAUUGUUUAACUACACGAGUUUGUAAUUUAAAAAUAUUUUUAUAAAUACUGCACCAAUUUAUGGUUUUUAUAUUUUUAAGUUUUUUAUAUGAAUAGAUGUUCAUAAAGCUUCGAUAAAUAAAAGAGAUGGUCCUCUUCAGGUAGGAUUUGAACCUACAACCUCUCGGUUAACAGCCGUUUGCUCUACCCUUGAGCUACUGAAGAAUCUUAAAAAUAUAAUAUCUUUUUUUUAAUUUUUUUUCAAGUCUUUUUAGUUAAAUAUUAAUUUUUAAUAUAUAAAUAUUAAUAAAAUAAAAAUAAAUUAAUUGUUAUACUUUAUUGUAACAACCUUAAAUUGGUUUUAUAAAUUAAUUUUAAAGGUUAA
This 483-nucleotide transfer RNA is filed under the name Ostreobium quekettii. RNAcentral's name for it is "ribonuclease P RNA". Lineage: Eukaryota; Viridiplantae; Chlorophyta; Ulvophyceae; Bryopsidales; Ostreobiaceae. The record is from RNAcentral.